This 1376-nucleotide ribosomal RNA is filed under the name Tagiades vajuna. RNAcentral describes it as "16S ribosomal RNA". Lineage: Eukaryota; Metazoa; Arthropoda; Insecta; Lepidoptera; Hesperiidae. The record is from RNAcentral.
GGGUAAAAAUUAAUUUAAUUAAUAAUUAAUAAAAAAAUUUUUAAAUAAAAUAUUUUAAUGGGGGUUAAAGUAUAUUUAUAAGAAAAAAUUUUUAAUUUUAUAGUUUAAUAGUAUUGUAAAAGAAAAUUGAAAUAAUUUGAAAAUUAAUUUUAUUAAAAGUAAAUUUUAUUUAUUGUAUCUUGUGUAUCAGAGUUUAUUAAUAAAAUUUUAAUGAAUAUAAAUAUCUCGAAUUUAAAAGAGAUAAUUAAUUAUAAAAGUUAUUGUUUCAUAAAUAUUUUUCAUAAUUAAUUUGAAAUGAAAUGUUAAUCGUUUUUAAAUAUAUCUAGUUUUUUUAGAAAUAAAUUUAAUUUAGAAUUUUUUUUUUUAGAAAAUUAAAUAUUUAAUUUUCUAAAAAAAAAAAUUUAAUAUUUUAAGGGAUAAUCUUUAAAUUAAAUAUUUAUAUUUAUAUUUUAAUUAAAGAUAAAAUUUUUAAAAUUUAUAUUGUUUAUAAAUUAUAUUUUUUUAUAAAAAAUUUUAAUAAUUUAUAAAAUUUUUAAAAGUAAAUUUAAUUUUUUAUAAAAAAAUAAUUUAUAAUAAGUAAAAUUUAGGUAUAAUGAUAAAAUUAGUAUAUUUAUAUAAAUUAAAAUAAUAAUUUAAUUUAAUAAAAAUUAAUUAAAAGGAAUUCGGCAAAUAUUUAUAUUCACUUGUUUAACAAAAACAUGUCUUUUUGUUAAUAAUUUAAAGUCUAAUCUGCCCACUGAUGGAAUUAAAGGGCUGCAGUAUAUUGACUGUACAAAGGUAGCAUAAUCAUUAGUCUUUUAAUUGAAGACUUGUAUGAAAGAUUUGAUGAAAUAUAAACUGUCUUUUUUUUAAAAUUAGAAAUUAAUUUUUUAGUAAAAAAGCUAAAAUUUAUUUAAAAGACGAGAAGACCCUAUAGAGUUUUAUUAAAAAUUUAUUUAUUAAUAUUAUAUUAAAUAUUUAAAUAAAAAUUAAAUUUUUAAUUUUAUUGGGGUGAUGAAAAAAUUUAAUAAACUUUUUUUUAAAAAAAAUCCAUUAAUUAAUGAAGUUUUUGAUCCAUAAUUUAUGAUUGUAAGAAAAAAUUACCUUAGGGAUAACAGCGUAAUUUUUUUUUUUAGUUCAAAUAAAAAAAAAAGUUUGCGACCUCGAUGUUGGAUUAAGAUAAAAUUUAAAUGCAGAAGUUUAAAAUUUUUGAUCUGUUCGAUCAUUAAAAUCUUACAUGAUCUGAGUUCAAACCGGUGUAAGCCAGGUUGGUUUCUAUCUUUAAAAAAGAUAAAUAUUUUAGUACGAAAGGAUUAAAUAUUUAAAAUAUAUUUUAAAUUUAUAGAAUAUUAAUAAUUGAAAUUUAUAUUUAUUAUUUAUAAUUUAUUAAAAAUUUA